CCCCUCCGGUAGGGUGAACCUGCGGAAGGAUC
Molecule: ribosomal RNA, 32 nt
Filed under: Rhizopus arrhizus
Lineage: Eukaryota; Fungi; Mucoromycota; Mucoromycetes; Mucorales; Rhizopodaceae
Description: Rhizopus oryzae partial 18S ribosomal RNA
Source: RNAcentral